This is a non-coding RNA of Lonchura striata (white-rumped munia), 977 nucleotides long. Lineage: Eukaryota; Metazoa; Chordata; Aves; Passeriformes; Estrildidae. The record is from RefSeq and is a predicted model, not a curated record.
CUCCUGACCUCGAAAGAGGCUGAUUUCUCCACAUGACAGCUGAGGUCGUGGGGGCAUGGUGGGAAGCUCACCCUGCUGGCUCCAGCUCUGCCUCUAGCCUAUGGAUAAGUAAAGAAUUACUGCUUUACUACUUUAGGUAGUCCAUUAACCUUCACAAGGCUGAACUUUAAUUCAAAUAAUUGCAAAAUAAGUAUAGGUGGUGAAACCUGAACAGAAUCACUGCUAUUUCUAUGGCCUUUGGAAAGUUUAGGGACCCAACCCUUAGCGUGGAUCCACUGGUAUUUUAAACAGUGAGGUAUCUUUCUUAGCUUCUUGCUGUAAUUAAAAAAAGUUAAAGCCCAGAAUUACCAGCAAAACCAGAAAAUCAUUCAGUGACUGGCAGCCAAUGAAUGGAUGGUCCUUCAUUGGUGGUGGGGCUUUGUGUUCCCUGGGGAGGUUACCUUCUCUUUUUAACUUCUUGCUUUAUGAUGAGUUCUUUUAGCUAUAAAUUCAUUCCACAGGGUCCAUUAGAAUUACCCACCAUGUGUCAGCUUUGAUAGACCUCACCCAGGAACAAUCAUAAAGAGAGAAGUGUGGCAAGCUCCUGCUUCAUAUCCCAGUAACCCACAGCCUGCCUCUGUGCACAUGACUCCCACAGACACAGUAAAACCUGAUUUAAGUGCCAGCAGAGAGAGACUGCUUGAAGCGGAACUUGGCACCAUGUUUCUUGGCCUCUCCAAAUCUGGAUUACAAUAGAUACCAUAAAUACAUAGAUUAAAUGCUUUCAUCUGAAAGCCCUGAUAAAUGGACUGCACCAUAUGCUGAGAUGGGAUUCUUGACAACAUCAGAUAAUCUCUUCAAAACUCCUUUGGAAAAGCAACCCAUAUAUAUAUGGGAGAGGGACCAGGCUAGUCUGCAGUGAAAGAGGGGGAGCUGAUACUUUCUUCUCACGUGGAAGUGCUGCUAUAUACACUCUUCUGUGAUGCUGUGCCAGACAC